CUGGGUCUAUGUUGCCUUUAAGAACAUAGGGUAGCCUAGAAAUGAAAAUUACCUCUAUCAUGGCAUACCAUUUUCAUAAGUAGACAACCCAAGGUGUUCAAAAUGGUUUUGUCCAGUUUUCGUUAGUAGUAAUUUACAAUCCCUGGCCUGUAACGUUCCAAAACACAAUAAAACCUAUACAUGGGGGUACUCGGGAGACUUUGC
This is a non-coding RNA of Pelobates cultripes (western spadefoot toad), 204 nucleotides long. Lineage: Eukaryota; Metazoa; Chordata; Amphibia; Anura; Pelobatidae. The record is from the annotation of a GenBank genome assembly.